CCUACGUGCGGCAGCAGUGGGGAAUAUUGGACAAUGGGCGAAAGCCUGAUCCAGCCAUGCCGCGUGUGUGAAGAAGGCCUUCGGGUUGUAAAGCACUUUCAGUGGGGAAGAAAGCCUUGGGGCUAAUACCCUCGAGGAAGGACAUCACCCACAGAAGAAGCACCGGCUAACUCCGUGCCAGCAGCCGCGGUAAUACGGAGGGUGCGAGCGUUAAUCGGAAUUACUGGGCGUAAAGCGCGCGUAGGCGGUCUGAUAAGCCGGUUGUGAAAGCCCCGGGCUCAACCUGGGAACGGCAUCCGGAACUGUCAGGCUAGAGUGCAGGAGAGGAAGGUAGAAUUCCCGGUGUAGCGGUGAAAUGCGUAGAGAUCGGGAGGAAUACCAGCGGCGAAGGCGGCCUUCUGGACUGACACUGACGCUGAGGUGCGAAAGCGUGGGUAGCAAACAGGAUUAGAUACCCCAGUAGUC
RNAcentral lists this ribosomal RNA (465 nucleotides) under Vreelandella stevensii. RNAcentral's name for it is "partial 16S ribosomal RNA". It matches the Rfam family "Bacterial small subunit ribosomal RNA", at positions 338 to 795 of the family's 1533-position model. Lineage: Bacteria; Pseudomonadati; Pseudomonadota; Gammaproteobacteria; Oceanospirillales; Halomonadaceae. The record is from RNAcentral.